UACAGAGGGUGCAAGCGUUAUUCGGAAUUAUUGGGCGUAAAGAGCGCGUAGGCGGUUUAGUUAGUCCGAUGUGAAAGCCCUGGACUUAAUUCAGGAAGUGCAUCGGAUACUGCUAGGCUUGAGUGCAGGAGGGGAGAGCGGAAUUCCUGGUGUAGAGGUGAAAUUCGUAGAUAUCAGGAGGAACAACAGAGGCGAAGGCGGCUCUCUGGACUGCAACUGACGCUGAGGCGCGAAAGCGUGGGGAGCAAACAGG
Molecule: ribosomal RNA, 253 nt
Filed under: uncultured bacterium
Lineage: Bacteria
Description: partial 16S ribosomal RNA
Rfam family: Bacterial small subunit ribosomal RNA
Source: RNAcentral